UCAAGCCAUCGUGAGGGAGCGGCGCACGGCUCAGUAACGCGUAGAUAACCUACCCAAGGGACGGGAACACCCCCGGGAAACUGGGGCUAAUUCCCGAUAGGCGAGGUGCCCUGGAACUGGGCCCUCACUUAAAGGUGGAGGGGACGAUGCUCUCCUCCAUGCCCUCGGAUGGGACUACGUUCGAUCAGGUUGUUGGUGGGGUAACGGCCCACCAAGCCUAUAACCGAUACGGGCCCUGAGAGGGGUAGCCCGGAGAUGGGGACUGAGACAAGGCCCUAGGCCCUACGGGGCGCACCCGCUACGAAAAUUCCCCAAUGGGCGAAAGCGCGAGGGAGUUAUCCCGAGUGUCAUCUGCUGAGGGUGACUUUUCGCCAGUCUUCAAAGCUGGCGGAAUAAGGGGAGGGUAAGCCGGGUGUCAGCCGCCGCGGUAAUACCCGCUCCCCGAGUGGUGAGGACGAUUAUUGGGCUUAAAGCGUCCGUAGCCGGCUCUGCAAGUUUCCCGUCAAAUCCAACGGCUUAACCGUUGGGCCGCGGGAAAUACUACGGAGCUCGGAGGCGGGAGAGGUCAUCGGUAGUCCUGGGGUAGGGGCAAAAUCUUCUGAUCCCAGGAGGACCACCAGUGGCGAAGGCGGGUGACCAGAACGCGCUCGACGGUGAUGGACGAAAGCUGGGGGAGCGAACCGGAUUAGAUA
This 692-nucleotide ribosomal RNA is filed under the name uncultured archaeon. Its description in RNAcentral is "bacterial SSU rRNA". It matches the Rfam family "Archaeal small subunit ribosomal RNA", at positions 58 to 735 of the family's 1478-position model. The record is from RNAcentral.